RNAcentral lists this small RNA (309 nucleotides) under uncultured bacterium. RNAcentral describes it as "bacterial SSU rRNA". It matches the Rfam family "Bacterial small subunit ribosomal RNA", at positions 59 to 358 of the family's 1533-position model. The record is from RNAcentral.
AAGUCGAGCGAACUUUUAAAAGCUUGCUUUUAAAAGUUAGCGCCGGACGGGUGAGUAACACGUGGGCAACCUACCUGUAAGACUGGGAUAACUUCGGGAAACCGGAGCUAAUACCGGAUAAUUCUUUUCUACACAUGUAGAAAAGCUGAAAGACGGUUUCGGCUGUCACUUACAGAUGGGCCCGCGGCGCAUUAGCUAGUUGGUGAGGUAACGGCUCACCAAGGCCACGAUGCGUAGCCGACCUGAGAGGGUGAUCGGCCACACUGGGACUGAUUAUCGGCCCAGACUCCUACGGGAGGCAGCAGUGGG